ACACCGGAAGACAGAUGGAUUGGUCGUCACCCUUUCAAGGUGGAGUUUGCGGGUUCGAGUCCCGUCCGGUGUA
Molecule: transfer RNA, 73 nt
Filed under: Vibrio phage pVp-1
Lineage: Duplodnaviria; Heunggongvirae; Uroviricota; Caudoviricetes; Demerecviridae
Also listed under: 3 other names
Rfam family: tRNA
About the family: Transfer RNA (tRNA) molecules are approximately 80 nucleotides in length. Their secondary structure includes four short double-helical elements and three loops (D, anti-codon, and T loops).
Source: Rfam by way of RNAcentral